RNAcentral lists this ribosomal RNA (440 nucleotides) under uncultured bacterium. RNAcentral describes it as "partial 16S ribosomal RNA". It matches the Rfam family "Bacterial small subunit ribosomal RNA", at positions 338 to 795 of the family's 1533-position model. The record is from RNAcentral.
CCUACGGGAGGCAGCAGUGGGGAAUAUUGCACAAUGGGGGAAACCCUGAUGCAGCGACGCCGCGUGAGUGAAGAAGUAAUUCGUUAUGUAAAGCUCUAUCAGCAGGGAAGAAAAUGACGGUACCUGAGUAAGAAGCCCCGGCUAACUACGUGCCAGCAGCCGCGGUAAUACGUAGGGGGCAAGCGUUAUCCGGAUUUACUGGGUGUAAAGGGAGCGUAGACGGCAGUGCAAGUCUGGAGGGAAAGGCGGGGGCUCAACCCCCGGACUGCUCUGGAAACUGGACGGCUGGAGUGCAGGAGAGGCAGGCGGAAUUGCGGGGGUAGCGGUGAAAGGCAUAGAUAUUGCGAAGAACGCCGGUGGCGAAGGCGGCCGGCUGGACGACAACUGACGGGGAGGCGCGAAAGCGUGGGGAGCAAACAGGAUUAGAUACCCCAGUAGUC